Molecule: ribosomal RNA, 492 nt
Filed under: uncultured bacterium
Lineage: Bacteria
Description: partial 16S ribosomal RNA
Rfam family: Bacterial small subunit ribosomal RNA
Source: RNAcentral
AGUGAACGCUGGCGGUAGGCCUAACACAUGCAAGUCGAACGGCAGCACAGUAAGAGCUUGCUCUUACGGGUGGCGAGUGGCGGACGGGUGGGGAAUACAUCGGAAUCUACUUUUUCGUGGGGGAUAACGUAGGGAAACUUACGCUAAUACCGCAUACGACCUACGGGUGAAAGCAGGGGAUCUUCGGACCUUGCGCGAUUGAAUGAGCCGAUGUCGGAUUAGCUAGUUGGCGGGGUAAAGGCCCACCAAGGCGACGAUCCGUAGCUGGUCUGAGAGGAUGAUCAGCCACACUGGAACUGAGACACGGUCCAGACUCCUACGGGAGGCAGCAGUGGGGAAUAUUGGACAAUGGGCGCAAGCCUGAUCCAGCCAUACCGCGUGGGUGAAGAAGGCCUUCGGGUUGUAAAGCCCUUUUGUUGGGAAAGAAAAGCAGCAGGUUAAUACCCCGCUGUUCUGACGGUACCCAGAGAAUAAGCACCGGCUAACUUCGUG